RNAcentral lists this ribosomal RNA (554 nucleotides) under uncultured archaeon. RNAcentral's name for it is "bacterial SSU rRNA". It matches the Rfam family "Archaeal small subunit ribosomal RNA", at positions 876 to 1429 of the family's 1478-position model. The record is from RNAcentral.
GCACCACAAGGGGUGAAGCCUGCGGUUCAAUUGGACUCAACGCCGGAAAACUUACCAGGGGAGACAGCAGUAUGACAGUCAGGUUGACGACCUUACCUAACGAGCUGAGAGGAGGUGCAUGGCCGUCGCCAGUUCGUGCCGUGAGGUAUCCUGUUAAGUCAGGCAACGAACGAGAUCCGCACCUUUAUUUGCCAACAAGAAGUCACGACUUCGUUGGGAACACUAAAGGGACCGCCGUCGAUAAGACGGAGGAAGGAGCGGGCAAAGGCAGGUCAGUAUGCCCCGAAACCCCUGGGCUACACGCGGGCUGCAAUGGUAUGAACAAUGGGCUGUGACUCCGAGAGGAGAAACCAAUCCCGAAAUCAUAUCUCAGUUGGAAUUGUCGGCUGUAACCCGCGGACAUGAACGCGGAAUCCCUAGUAAUCGUGUGUCAUCAUCGCACGGUGAAUACGUCUCUGCUCCUUGCACACACCGCCCGUCGCUCCAUCCGAGUGUGCUAAAAAUGAGGUUUGGUCAGUCUGGUCAUAUCGAGUUUCUAGUAUGCGAGGAGGGAG